ACCCUUAAGAGUUAUCAAGUGUCU
This 24-nucleotide non-coding RNA is filed under the name Arabidopsis thaliana (thale cress). The record is from RNAcentral. Lineage: Eukaryota; Viridiplantae; Streptophyta; Magnoliopsida; Brassicales; Brassicaceae.